UACGAAGGGGGCUAGCGUUGUUCGGAAUCACUGGGCGUAAAGCGCACGUAGGCGGAUCGUUAAGUCGGGAGUGAAAUCCCAGAGCUCAACUCUGGAACUGCCUUCGAUACUGGCGAUCUUCGAGUCCGGGAGAGGUGAGUGGAACUCCGAGUGUAGAGGUGAAAUUCGUAGAUAUUCGGAAGAACACCAGUGGCGAAGGCGGCUCACUGGCCCGGUACUGACGCUGAGGUGCGAAAGCGUGGGGAGCAAACAGG
This 254-nucleotide ribosomal RNA is filed under the name uncultured bacterium. Its description in RNAcentral is "partial 16S ribosomal RNA". It matches the Rfam family "Bacterial small subunit ribosomal RNA", at positions 524 to 776 of the family's 1533-position model. The record is from RNAcentral.